Cervus elaphus (red deer) is the source of this 597-nucleotide non-coding RNA. The record is from the annotation of a RefSeq genome assembly. Lineage: Eukaryota; Metazoa; Chordata; Mammalia; Artiodactyla; Cervidae.
AGCACCAGGUCACUUAAAUUCAGGCUCCUCCUCAGGCUUGAAGAGAUUUCAGGAGCGGUGACUCUCAUCUGCUCGAAGAUGAGCCCACUGUGGACCUUCCUCUUCGUGCUGUCAGCUCCCAGCGGGGUCCUGUCCCAGGUGCAGCUGCAGGAGUCGGGACCCAGCCUGGUGAAGCCCUCACAGACCCUCUCCCUCACCUGCGCUGUCUCUGGAUUCUCAUUAAGCAGCAAUAGUAUAGCCUGGAUCCGCCAGGCUCCAGGGAAGGCGCUGGAGUGGGUUGGUGGAAUAGGUUAUAGUGGAAGCACAGGCUAUAACCCAGCCCUGAAAUCCCGGCUCAGCAUCACCAGGGACACCUCCAAGAGCCAAGUCUCUCUCUCACUGAGCAGCGUGACACCUGAGGACACGGCCGUGUAUUACUGUGCAAAGGACACAGUGAGGGGAAUCUGUAGUAGCCUUGGGGUCCGCAGUGUCCACACGCAGGGUGGGGGUCCUGAGGUUCACAAGCUCCUGCAGACACUGAGUUAUGCGCAGGACAGUGUGGGACAGCCCACUGGGCAACCUUCCUGGCAGGUGGAGGGGGACCACAGGAGGGGCUGA